Molecule: ribosomal RNA, 370 nt
Filed under: uncultured Lactobacillus sp.
Lineage: Bacteria; Bacillati; Bacillota; Bacilli; Lactobacillales; Lactobacillaceae
Description: bacterial SSU rRNA
Rfam family: Bacterial small subunit ribosomal RNA
Source: RNAcentral
GAAAGACAGAUCGCAUGAUCAGCUUUUUAAAAGGACGCGUAAGCUGUCGCUAUGGGGAUGGCCCGCGGUGCAUUAGCUAGUUGGUAAGGUAAAGGGCUUACCAAGGCGAUGACGCAUAGCCCGAGUUGAGAGACUGAUCGGCCACAUUGGGGACUGAGACACGGCCCAAACUCCUACGGGAGGCAGCAGUAGGGAAUCUUCCACAAUGGACGCAAGUCUGAUGGAGCAAACGCCGCGUGAGUGAAGAAGGUUUUCGGAUCGUAAAGCUCUGUUGUUGGUGAAGAAGGAUAGAGGUAGUAACUGGCCCUUUAUUUGACGGUAAUCAACCAGAAAGUCACGGGCUAACUACGUGCCAGCAGCCGCGGUAAAU